This 74-nucleotide transfer RNA is filed under the name Phrynosoma platyrhinos (Desert horned lizard). Its description in RNAcentral is "tRNA-OTHER". The record is from RNAcentral. Lineage: Eukaryota; Metazoa; Chordata; Lepidosauria; Squamata; Phrynosomatidae.
GAACUGGUGUAAUGUAGUGGUUUGAGUGUUGGACUACAACUCUGGAGACCAGGGUUCAAAUCCCAGCUGGGCCA